GACGAACGCNNGCGGCGUGCUUAACACAUGCAAGUCGAACGUGAUUUUUAUGGAAAGCCCUUCGGGGACGGAAGUAAAAUGAAAGUGGCGAACGGGUGAGUAACACGUGAGCAACCUACCUUACACAGGGGGAUAGCCGUUGGAAACGACGAUUAAUACCGCAUGAGACCACAAAGCCACAUGGCUUAGGGGUAAAAGAUUUAUCGGUGUAAGAUGGGCUCGCGUCUGAUUAGCUAGUUGGAAGGGUAAAGGCCUACCAAGGCGACGAUCAGUAGCCGGUCUGAGAGGAUGAACGGCCACAUUGGAACUGAGACACGGUCCAAACUCCUACGGGAGGCAGCAGUGGGGAAUAUUGCACAAUGGGGGGAACCCUGAUGCAGCGACGCCGCGUGAGCGAAGAAGGUUUUCGAAUCGUAAAGCUCUGUCCUAUGAGAAGAUAAUGACGGUAUCAUAGGAGGAAGCCCCGGCUAAAUACGUGCCAGCAGCCGCGGUAAUACGUAUGGGGCGAGCGUUGUCCGGAAUUAUUGGGCGUAAAGGGUACGUAGGCGGCCUUUUAAGUCAGGUGUGAAAGCGUGAGGCUUAACCUCAUUAAGCACUUGAAACUGGAAGGCUUGAGUGAAGGAGAGGAAAGUGGAAUUCCUAGUGUAGCGGUGAAAUGCGUAGAUAUUAGGAGGAAUACCGGUGGCGAAGGCGACUUUCUGGACUUUUACUGACGCUCAGGUACGAAAGCGUGGGGAGCAAACAGG
Molecule: ribosomal RNA, 746 nt
Filed under: uncultured Parvimonas sp.
Lineage: Bacteria; Bacillati; Bacillota; Tissierellia; Tissierellales; Peptoniphilaceae
Description: bacterial SSU rRNA
Rfam family: Bacterial small subunit ribosomal RNA
Source: RNAcentral